This 742-nucleotide ribosomal RNA is filed under the name uncultured bacterium. RNAcentral describes it as "bacterial SSU rRNA". It matches the Rfam family "Bacterial small subunit ribosomal RNA", at positions 94 to 823 of the family's 1533-position model. The record is from RNAcentral.
AGCGGCGGAUGGGUGAGUAACACGUGGGGAACCUGCCCCUAAGUCUGGGAUACCAUUUGGAAACAGGUGCUAAUACCGGAUAAUAAAGCAGAUCGCAUGAUCAGCUUUUGAAAGGCGGCGUAAGCUGUCGCUAAGGGAUGGCCCCGCGGUGCAUUAGCUAGUUGGUAAGGUAACGGCUUACCAAGGCGACGAUGCAUAGCCGAGUUGAGAGACUGAUCGGCCACAUUGGGACUGAGACACGGCCCAAACUCCUACGGGAAGCAGCAGUAGGGAAUCUUCCACAAUGGACGCAGGUCUGAUGGAGCAACGCCGCGUGAGUGAAGAAGGUUUUCGGAUCGUAAAGCUCUGUUGUUGGUGAAGAAGGAUAGAGGUAGUAACUGGCCUUUAUUUGACGGUAAUCAACCAGAAAGUCACGGCUAACUACGUGCCAGCAGCCGCGGUAAUACGUAGGUGGCAAGCGUUGUCCGGAUUUAUUGGGCGUAAGCGAGCGCAGGCGGAAAAAUAAGUCUAAUGUGAAAGCCCUCGGCUUAACCGAGGAACUGCAUCGGAAACUGUUUUUCUUGAGUGCAGAAGAGGAGAGUGGAACUCCAUGUGUAGCGGUGGAAUGCGUAGAUAUAUGGAAGAACACCAGUGGCGAAGGCGGCUCUCUGGUCUGCAACUGACGCUGAGGCUCGAAAGCAUGGGUAGCGAACAGGAUUAGAUACCCUGGUAGUCCAUGCCGUAAACGAUGAGUGCUAAGUGU